CGAACGCGCCGGGGUUCGCCGAGGGCGAUCUCGUGCAGGGGCUCGUCGGCUGGCAGGACUACGCGCACGUGCGCGCCGACGAAAUCGCGCAGUACACGAAGCUGCCCGCCGCGCUCGGCCUGCCGCUGCCGCGCCUGCUCGGCGCAUGCGGGAUGAGCGGGCUCACCGCGUACUACGGGCUCACCGAGAUCGCGCCGGUGCAGCCGGGCGAGACGCUCGUCGUGUCGGCGGCCGCGGGCUCGGUGGGCUCCGUCGCCGGGCAGAUCGGCAAGAUUCACGGCGCGCGCGUUGUCGGCAUCGCGGGCGGCGCGGACAAGUGCCGCUACCUGACC
Molecule: unclassified non-coding RNA, 332 nt
Filed under: Burkholderia mallei JHU
Lineage: Bacteria; Pseudomonadati; Pseudomonadota; Betaproteobacteria; Burkholderiales; Burkholderiaceae
Description: sRNA
Source: RNAcentral